AAUUUUACAAGAACGCUGGCGGCAUGCCUAAUACAUGCAAGUCGAACGAGCCCUUCGGGGUUAGUGGCGCACGGGUGCGUAACGCGUGGGAAUCUGCCCUUGGGUUCGGAAUAACGUCUGGAAACGGACGCUAAUACCGGAUGAUGACGAAAGUCCAAAGAUUUAUCGCCCAGGGAUGAGCCCGCGUAGGAUUAGCUAGUUGGUGAGGUAAAGGCUCACCAAGGCGACGAUCCUUAGCUGGUCUGAGAGGAUGAUCAGCCACACUGGGACUGAGACACGGCCCAGACUCCUACGGGAGGCAGCAGUAGGGAAUAUUGGACAAUGGGGGCAACCCUGAUCCAGCAAUGCCGCGUGAGUGAUGAAGGCCUUAGGGUUGUAAAGCUCUUUUACCCGGGAUGAUAAUGACAGUACCGGGAGAAUAAGCCCCGGCUAACUCCGUGCCAGCAGCCGCGGUAAUACGGAGGGGGCUAGCGUUGUUCGGAAUUACUGGGCGUAAAGCGCACGU
Molecule: ribosomal RNA, 505 nt
Filed under: Sphingomonas paucimobilis
Lineage: Bacteria; Pseudomonadati; Pseudomonadota; Alphaproteobacteria; Sphingomonadales; Sphingomonadaceae
Description: bacterial SSU rRNA
Rfam family: Bacterial small subunit ribosomal RNA
Source: RNAcentral